Molecule: ribosomal RNA, 315 nt
Filed under: uncultured bacterium
Lineage: Bacteria
Description: bacterial SSU rRNA
Rfam family: Bacterial small subunit ribosomal RNA
Source: RNAcentral
UGGCUCAGAACGAACGCUGGCGGCGUACUUAACACAUGCAAGUCGAACGAGGAGCUUCGGUGUAGCAAUACAUCGGAGUUUCUAGUGGCGCACGGGUGAGUAACACGUGGGUAACCUGUCCUCGAGCUCGGGAUACCCUCUCGAAAGGGAGGCUAAUACCGGAUACGUUCCUCGGAUUGCGAAAUCUGGGGAGGAAAGGUGGCGAAAGCUACCACUCUUGGAGGGGCUCGCGGCCUAUCAGCUAGUUGGUGAGGUAAUGGCUCACCAAGGCUAGGGCAAAAAGCUGGUAUGAGAGGACGACCAGCCACUCGGGAA